UACGUAGGGCGCAAGCGUUAUCCGGAAUUAUUGGGCGUAAAGAGCUCGUAGGCGGUUUGUCGCGUCUGCCGUGAAAGUCCGGGGCUCAACUCCGGAUCUGCGGUGGGUACGGGCAGACUAGAGUGAUGUAGGGGAGACUGGAAUUCCUGGUGUAGCGGUGAAAUGCGCAGAUAUCAGGAGGAACACCGAUGGCGAAGGCAGGUCUCUGGGCAUUAACUGACGCUGAGGAGCGAAAGCGUGGGGGGCGAACAGG
This 253-nucleotide ribosomal RNA is filed under the name uncultured bacterium. RNAcentral's name for it is "partial 16S ribosomal RNA". It matches the Rfam family "Bacterial small subunit ribosomal RNA", at positions 524 to 776 of the family's 1533-position model. The record is from RNAcentral.